Molecule: unclassified non-coding RNA, 298 nt
Filed under: uncultured fungus
Lineage: Eukaryota; Fungi
Description: sequence contains ITS2
Source: RNAcentral
AACGCAAAUUGCACUUCUUGGUAUCCCGAGGAGUAUGCUUGCUUGAGGGUUGGUCUACAAAAAAAUCGUAAAUUUUUUUACGGAUCUGGGUUUUCCGAGUUUUCUCGACUUCGGUUGCCUAAAAUUUAUCUUGAUAAUGAGGUAUCAAUUAGAAAUGUACUAUCUUACACGUUGUGAGUUCAUUGAUAAUUAUACCAGUUGUUACGUCGCGUUAUUCAUCUAGUACCUUUGAUUAGGUGAAAUAAUUCAAUCUUUUUAAUCCUACCUCAAGUCAAGUAAGGAUACCCGCUGAACUUAA